RNAcentral lists this ribosomal RNA (468 nucleotides) under uncultured bacterium. RNAcentral's name for it is "partial 16S ribosomal RNA". It matches the Rfam family "Bacterial small subunit ribosomal RNA", at positions 28 to 507 of the family's 1533-position model. The record is from RNAcentral.
GACGAACGCUGGCGGCGUGCUUAACACAUGCAAGUCGAACGGAAAGUCCCUGCUGUUGUGUGGCACUCGUGUGGCGAACGUGUGUGUCACAUGUGAGUCUUCCCUCCUUGACUGUGGUAUAACUUCAGGACACUUGGGCUAAUCCCGUAUUGUCGUUCCUCUUGCUUGGUUUGUGUUGGAAAGUUUCGGCGGUUGGGGAUAGACUCGCGUGUUAUCAGAUUGUUGGGGGGGUAGUAGCGUACCAAGGCUUUGACUGGUAGCCGGCCUGAGAGGGGGACCGGGGACAUAGGGAGUGAGAGACAGCCCAGACACCUACGGGAGGCAGAGGUGGGGAAAAUUGUAGAAUGGGCGGAAGACUGAGGCAGAAACACCGCGUGCGGGAUAAGGACGUUCGGGGAGUAAAAAGCUUUCGCAGGUGACGAAGAGUGAGUGACGGUAAUGGGUAAAGAAGCAACGGCUAAAUACGUG